GCCAGGUGAGGUGGCAUGUGCCUAUAAUGCCAGCUACUCAGGAGGCUGAGGUCAGAGGAUCACUUGAGCCCAGGAGUUCUGGGCUGUAGUGUGCUAUGCUGAUCGGGUGUCUGCACUAUGUUCAGCAUCUCCCAGGAGCAGGGGACCACCAGGUUGCCUAAGGAGGGGUGAACUGGCCCAGGUCAGAAAAGGAGAAGGUCAAAACUCUCAUGCUGAUCAGUAAUGGGAUCAUGCCUGUGAAUAGCCACUGCACUCCAGCCUGAGCAACAUAACGAGGCCCCAUCUCUU
Callithrix jacchus (white-tufted-ear marmoset) is the source of this 288-nucleotide unclassified non-coding RNA. It matches the Rfam family "Metazoan signal recognition particle RNA". From Rfam's summary of the family: The signal recognition particle (SRP) is a universally conserved ribonucleoprotein. It is involved in the co-translational targeting of proteins to membranes. NCBI's taxonomy places the organism in Eukaryota, Metazoa, Chordata, Mammalia, Primates, Cebidae. The record is from Ensembl.